This 497-nucleotide ribosomal RNA is filed under the name uncultured bacterium. Its description in RNAcentral is "partial 16S ribosomal RNA". It matches the Rfam family "Bacterial small subunit ribosomal RNA", at positions 28 to 507 of the family's 1533-position model. The record is from RNAcentral.
GAUGAACGCUGGCGGCGUGCCUAAUACAUGCAAGUCGAGCGAACGGACGAGAAGCUUGCUUCUCUGAUGUUAGCGGCGGACGGGUGAGUAACACGUGGAUAACCUACCUAUAAGACUGGGAUAACUUCGGGAAACCGGAGCUAAUACCGGAUAAUAUUUUGAACCGCAUGGUUCAAAAGUGAAAGACGGUCUUGCUGUCACUUAUAGAUGGAUCCGCGCUGCAUUAGCUAGUUGGUAAGGUAACGGCUUACCAAGGCAACGAUGCAUAGCCGACCUGAGAGGGUGGUCGGCCACACGGGAACUGAGACACGGUCCAGACUCCUACGGGAGGCAGCAGUAGGGAAUCUUCCGCAAUGGGCGAAAGCGUGACGGAGCAACGCCGCGUGAGUGAUGAAGGUCUUCGGAUCGUAAAACUCUGAUAUUAGGGAAGAACAUAUGUGUAAGUAACUGUGCACAUCUUGACGGUACCUAAUCAGAAAGCCACGGCUAACUACGUG